This is a long non-coding RNA of Cebus imitator (Panamanian white-faced capuchin), 518 nucleotides long. RefSeq lists it as uncharacterized. The transcript has 3 exons. The record is from RefSeq and is a predicted model, not a curated record. NCBI's taxonomy places the organism in Eukaryota, Metazoa, Chordata, Mammalia, Primates, Cebidae.
CAGAUCGUCCCGAGAGCGCCGAGCGCGGUCCAGGCGGGCGCAGCGCUGGGUCAAGUUCACGUCCGGCCCGCGGGCUGCCCGAGGUCCCCGGGUGCGGCCGGGGCAGCGGGAGGCGCGGGAGGCCGAGGUCCUGGGUGGCCGCUGUGGCCGCCCCCGAGGCGCUGCUGUCACCCCGGCCGCGCCCCCCAACUUUCUGCACAGUGGCGGAGCUGGAAGUUUCCGGGCUCCGCGGACUCUGGGCUGGGUUUCAGCCGCGGCUCUGAGGUUGGCAACAAAGAGGGAAAGAAGGAGGAAAAUCAGGCCGGGGAGGGGAGGAAGGGAGCCGCGCGGAGGCCGCGGCGCAGAGAGCCCCAGAACUUCCAAUUCUACCCAGGCGCUUUUUUCGUUGUGUUUUUUUCUUGAGAGAUGAUUGUCAGCAGAAGGUUCAUUUCCAGCAUCCACAGGGGACCAGGGGAAAUUUACCUGCCGAAGAACCCCAAGAUCCUUUUCCACAGGCAUAACAAGCCUUGGCAUCAGUG